GACGAACGCUGGCGGCGUGCUUAACACAUGCAAGUCGAACGGUAAGGCCCUUCGGGGUACACGAGUGGCGAACGGGUGAGUAACACGUGGGUGAUCUGCCCUGCACUUCGGGAUAAGCCUGGGAAACUGGGUCUAAUACCGGAUAGGACUCCUGGCUUCAUGGUUGGGGGUGGAAAGCUUUUGCGGUGUGGGAUGGGCCCGCGGCCUAUCAGCUUGUUGGUGGUGUAAUGGCCUACCAAGGCGACGACGGGUAGCCGGCCUGAGAGGGUGACCGGUCACACGGGGACUGAGAUACGGCGCAGACUCCUACGGGAGGCAGCAGUGGGGAAUAUUGCACAAUGGGCGCAAGCCUGAUGCAGCGACGCCGCGUGAGGGAUGACGGCCUUCGGGUUGUAAACCUCUUUCAGCUAUGACGAAGCGCAAGUGACGGUAGUAGCAGAAGAAGGACCGGCCAACUACGUGCCAGCCGCCGCGGUAA
RNAcentral lists this ribosomal RNA (478 nucleotides) under uncultured bacterium. RNAcentral's name for it is "partial 16S ribosomal RNA". It matches the Rfam family "Bacterial small subunit ribosomal RNA", at positions 28 to 523 of the family's 1533-position model. The record is from RNAcentral.